UGGCUCAGAACGAACGCUGGCGGCGUGCCUAACACAUGCAAGUCGAACGAGAAAGUCCGCAAGGAUGAGUACAGUGGCGACCGGGUGAGUAACACGUGACUAACCUACCUCUUAGUGGGGAAUAACUCCGGGAAACCGGAGCUAAUACCGCAUAACAUCGCAAGAUCAAAGCCGAAAGGCGCUGGGAGAGGGGGUCGCGGCUGAUUAGCUAGUUGGCAGGGUAACGGCCUACCAAGGCGAAGAUCGGUAUCCGGCCUGAGAGGGCGCACGGACACACUGGAACUGAAACACGGUCCAGAGACCUACGGGAGGCAGC
RNAcentral lists this ribosomal RNA (316 nucleotides) under uncultured Acidobacteriota bacterium. RNAcentral's name for it is "bacterial SSU rRNA". It matches the Rfam family "Bacterial small subunit ribosomal RNA", at positions 20 to 352 of the family's 1533-position model. Lineage: Bacteria; Pseudomonadati; Acidobacteriota. The record is from RNAcentral.